GGGCCGCUAGCUCAACUGGUAGAGCAGCUGACUCUUAAUCAGCAGAUCUUCCAAAUCGAGCAGGGCCA
This 68-nucleotide transfer RNA is filed under the name Candidatus Latescibacteria bacterium 4484_181. Its description in RNAcentral is "tRNA-Lys". The record is from RNAcentral. Lineage: Bacteria; Pseudomonadati; Candidatus Latescibacterota.